AGAUUAUGUAGUUAUAAAAUAUUUCAUUUUUAAGGAAAGUGUUCCAUUUUUCUUGGUAGCAGAAAAUGAGAGCAUUCAGACAAAUAAGAAAUAUUGAUAUGCAGCAGAUGCAAAUCCAAGUGUCCGAAUGAAACAUCAAAUUUUAAGUAGAUGUGAAGAGAGAACAUUCAGGAUGAAUAAUACAAAUCCCACUUAUAAAAUGCAAAAUUCUGGAGCUCUGAUAAUUUCCUAUAUAGAAGUGUCAGUGAAAUGUGAAUUAAAAACAGGAACAAGACUUAGGUUCUGUUGGGGACAUUCUAGUUAAUCUUACCUGCAAUCCUUUUGGGAAAUUGACAGAAGAAAGCAAUGAAUAAAUAAAUAAAUAAAAUUUAAAUACUGAGUUGAGCUAAUCAGGUCAACAGAAAAGUCAGAACAAAAGCAAAUUCCCGCAUGUGGCCAAAUGAUGUGUAUACAAGGCACCAGGUGGCUCUGAUCCAUCACAUGUAGAAGACCAUGUGUCUAAUAUUAUAGUGUCCUCAUUUAUUAUCACGAACAGAUCAAUUUACCAUAAGAUGAUAACAUUUCUGUGACCUGUUGCUUUUAUGUGGUGUUAAGUGUCAAUCCCUUCUAUGUGAUUGAUAUCACUAAGCAGAAAACAGUGUAAAUUCAUAAUCUCUUAGCAAUACUGCUGUGUACCCUACCGUUAUACACACUGUCACACACACACACACACAUACAUACACACACAUACCUAUAUUCUUAAAGUAAACAUUUUAAGUUUUAUAAAUCAUUUCACAUGCAUUCUGUUUUCUACAGAAAAGUGAUUCUACUCUGUGGCUUCCUGAGUUAAGCAUUUCAUGAAUGAAGACUUUGAUUUCCGUUUUAGGGAGGUACCCUGCCCCCUGCCCUCAGGAACUGAUAUGCACGGUAUAUGCUAUUACUUCUGACAAAAGAUAGCAAAAGAAUGAGAUGAACUGAAGAACACUUAUAAAAACAAAUGAAGGCUGUAGCUUAGUGGUAGAGCACUUACCUAGCAUGUAGGAAGCACUGGGUUUGAUUCUCAGCACAGCAUAUAAAUAAAUGAAUAAAAUAAAGGUCUAUCAACAACUAAUAUAUAUAUAUAUAUAUUUAUAAUUUUUAAUAAAUAUAUAUGUCCUGCUGAAAAUGAGACAUCCAAUAUAGUGGAGCAGAGCCCAUCCUCAUUAGAAUUUUUAGAUAUUAGUCUGCAUUCUGUUAGUUGGUUCCACAUGACACUUCACCCUUUGCCACACUCUACCUUGUCUUUCAGUUAUCCUUUUGGGCUAAUGCCUUCCAUGCACUUCCAUUCCAAAAAUUCUCAUUUCUUAAACAAUGAUGGCAUUGCAUAUUUGUAUGAAAAUCACUGCUCCAAAUGUUAGAUAUGACAACAUCUGAAAUUACUGCAACUGCUUCUAAAGCAAUCACAGGGGAACCGAAGAGUAAAAUAUCUUAAUUAAAAAAAAAAAGGAAAACACAAAAAGUUUGCAUGUUGCCACAAUUGUGAAUUGUCAGACACAGAUGUAUUUUAUACUUCUGCAUUAAUUUGUCUGAAAAUAGAAGAAUGUGGUGCUAGGGAUAAUGUCUUGAGAAAGAAGUUAUGGCCUUUUACCAGAGAAAUUAAAAGUAGGGAGAAAACAGUUAAUAAUGUUUUUUUUUUAAAGAAAAUAAAGAACAUCCCUGUACACACUAUUUCUUUAGUACCUUUAGACCCAAUCCAUUAGCAAAUUCUGUUAAGUCAAGUUAUCCAUGCAUUUAGUAAUUGAUCACUUUAUAUCAUUUCUGACAUAACUAUAGUGCUGUAAGGGUAAUUUCACUUUGAUUUCAUCAAUAUCUUCAAAAAUUAAUUGCCCUUACAAUAUAAUCUAAUGAAUAGCAAGAAAGAUCCUUUUAAAAUGCUAAGUCAUGCUAAGAAUUUUCUAAUUGUUUAGAGGCUCAAAUAUAAAUACAGCUUCGAAGAUUUGGGUUUUUUUCAAUGAUACUCCAACUGUUUGAAUUUACGUCCACCUCACUCUUCUUUAUUCACUAAGCUUCUCAUCAGGGAUGCAUUAUGGUUUUAUAGUCAUAGAAAUGAUUGUCUUCCUAUGAGUGCUUUGCAAUUUAAAAAAAUUUUAAAUUUUUAUGACUUUUUAUUGGUUAAAAAAGGCUAAAUUUCCUUUAUUCCUUGUUUCCUCAUUUAUCUUCUUUACUCUGAACGCUUUUGAUUUAACAUUUGGAAAGAAUAUAACAUUUUAUUUACUUAUUUACUUCGCUAUUGAUUGUGUCCCCAAACAAGAAUGAAUGCUAUAUGAAAGAAGGAAUAUUGUAUAUUUUGUUUGUUGUUUUCUAUCAAGCUCCUAGAAGUGUAGCUAAAAGAAAGCCUAGUGUGUCAUAAGUUCUUUUUUUUAAAAUUUAUUCUGAUUUAUUAUACAUGAUGGCAGAAUGCAAUUUGUUUUAUAUUAUACACAUAAAGCACAAUUUUUCAAGACACUGAUAGUAUACAGAAUAUUUUCACACCAUUCAUGUCUUAUACAUGUACUUAGGGUAAUGAUGUCUAACUCAUUCCACCAUCAUUCCUACCUCCUUCCCUCUCCUUUGUACUCCUCCCCUUUGCCCUAUCUAAAGUUCCUAUGCUCCCCCACCAAUCACCAUUAAGCCUCUGCAUUCUCAAAACAAAGAAAACAUUGGGCUUUUGGGUUUUUGGGAUUGGCUUGCUUCACUUAGCAUUAUAUUCUCCAACUCCAUCCAUUUACAUGCAAAUGCCAUGAAUAAGAGCAAGCUAACUUCUUAAAAAUUCUAAACAAGUGCUUAUAUACAAACUAGCAAUUGCAUUCUUAGGCAUUUUUGUAAAUAAAAUUAUCUUCUUAAUUUUAUUUAUGCUAGUGUAUAGAAAUGCAAUUGAUGUUUUUGUAUUGAUAUGCAUACAUUAACUUUGCUGAAAUAAUUUUUAAAUCUUUUUUUUAGGAAUUUCUAUCCAUGAGAUCAGUGCAUUUGCAAAUAGAAAUCAUUUUAAUUUUUUGUUUCUAAUCUGGGUGACUUUUUUUUUCUUACUCAAUAUACUCUGCCCAGCAUUUCCAGUUGAAUCUGUGUGAUAUGAAUGGAUAUUCUUGUCCUAGUUCUUAGAUAGAAAAUAUUUUCAGACCUUUGACCCUUAGCAAGCUGCAGACUUUUCAUUAAUGUUAUUUAUCAUAUUGAGGAAGUUCCCUACUAUUCCAAGUUUGUUGAAUGUUUUUAUCACUAAAAAGUGUGAGUUUGACAACUGUUUUCUUCUGAGUCUGUUUAUAUAACAGUGCAGAUUUUGUCCUUAGUUUGCUGCAUUACAUUAAUUGAUUUUAAUAUGUUAAAACAACUUUGAAUUUUUGGUAAAAAUUCCAUUUGGUUGGAGUGUAUAAGCUUUUUAUGUUUUUAGAUAUGGUUUCUUAGUUUGAUGUUGAGAAUUUUUUUGUGUUAAGCAUUUCUAUUUGUAGUUUUUUUUGUUUUGUUUUGUUUUGUUUUUCCUUAUGCUAUCUUUGAUUUUGGUGUGGAAAUAUUGUGACCUCAUGGAAUUCAAGUGCAAAUGUCCCUUUUUCUAUUUUAUGGAAAAGUUUGAAAAGGUUUGUUAUCAAUUCCUCUUAAAAUGUGUGACAGAGUUUACCAAUGAAGCUAUUUGUGCUUGAAUUUUUAUUUAUUG
Molecule: transfer RNA, 3643 nt
Filed under: Marmota monax (woodchuck)
Lineage: Eukaryota; Metazoa; Chordata; Mammalia; Rodentia; Sciuridae
Rfam family: tRNA (bases 983-1050)
Source: RNAcentral